GAGUCUUGUGACUCCAAAAGCUGAACAGUGGCAUAACAGAAAUCUAACAAGAGCUUGGUUGAGUAGGUGAUCUGAGGAUUGCAGUAUACAGUGUGCCAUGAAAACUUCUUUGGGGAAAACAUAAAGAACCAACUUCUCUUAG
Podarcis raffonei (Aeolian wall lizard) is the source of this 142-nucleotide long non-coding RNA. RefSeq lists it as uncharacterized. The record is from RefSeq and is a predicted model, not a curated record. Lineage: Eukaryota; Metazoa; Chordata; Lepidosauria; Squamata; Lacertidae. The transcript has 3 exons.